UACCUUUACAUGUGCAUUGCAUCCAUGAGCAUCAUGCCACAAUUGCAUGUUUGAAUUCAAAUUUUGAAUCACAAAAGUCUUUAAGAGAUUUUGUUUACAUCCCUGUAACCUUUGGAUUUUCAAACCAAUAGGUUGAUGUAUAAAAAGGGUUUAAUGCAUAUAUAAGCUAUCCCAUAAUUUUUGGUUAACUAAUUGGAGUUGAAAAAGUAUUUUAUUCAAACAGAUAUAUAGCCGUAAAGUCAUUUAUAGGGCAAAUGUAUUUUUAUAUAUUUUAUUUUGAAGAGAAACUACUUCCAAAAGUUGUAUCAUGGUAGAACAUGAUUUUACAAAUUUUCUGGAAUUUAUUUGGACCAAUUUGGAGUUCAAACACAAAAGAUAUCAAAGAAAUGAGAAAAACAGAAAAAGAAAAGGCCUAAAAGAACAAAAAAAGGGUAAACCGGACCGGCCCGGCCAAAAUGGGCCGA
This 464-nucleotide long non-coding RNA is filed under the name Brachypodium distachyon (stiff brome). RNAcentral's name for it is "long non-coding RNA (BDIS_LNC000238)". Lineage: Eukaryota; Viridiplantae; Streptophyta; Magnoliopsida; Poales; Poaceae. The record is from RNAcentral.